This 529-nucleotide long non-coding RNA is filed under the name Homo sapiens (human). Its description in RNAcentral is "non-protein coding lnc-TRIM45-1:11". Lineage: Eukaryota; Metazoa; Chordata; Mammalia; Primates; Hominidae. The record is from RNAcentral.
GUGGGUGUCUCUGAGCCAGGCUGGCGCUCGUGCGCGCUGGGCUCCGCGCUCAGUCGCUGGGGUGGGAGGCCAGGGGAAGCCGCCGCUGCAGGCCGAGCCGCGAGAUUUGCAGUGCAGGAGCCGAAGCGGCGGGCAUGGUGGGAGGUCCUUGGAAGCUGCUGCGGGGAACUGAAACGGCUCUGAUAGGCAGGCACAAAGACUUCUCUAGGACCCCCUACAAUGCUUUACGUUUGCCUCGUGCUUUAGAUUUCACAAAGUGCUUACACAUAACACGACCCUCCUCACUCGACCUGGUGAGAUGGGUAGCAUUUUGUGGAAGAUUCCGAGACUCAAGUUUGAGAGACUCACCCAAGGUCAGAGUUGGCGAGUGGGCGGUCCGUGGACAGGUGCGCAGGUCUCAGCGCCAUUUGGCCCGCGCUGCUGCUUCCUGUGUGUACUGGAUGUUCUCUAGGCUCGCCCAGCGUGGAAGCCCCGAGUUACCAGCCGCAACGUGGAAACCACAGAAGGGGAAAUAGAUGACUUUUGAUAG